UUUACACAGUUUUUCAAAAAUGUUCUACGAUUUAUGCAAAAUUUUUCUAUGACUUACUCAAAACUUUUUCAAUUAACAAAUAAUGUUAAAACGAUUUUACUCAAUAAUGUUAAACAAACAUAUUGUACUACGAUUUACUAAAAUAUUUUGUUCUUCACAAUGAACACAAGAAUAAUGUUUUCUUGAAAUUCUUUUUCUACGAUUCUACGAUUUAAAAGAAAGUUAACCUUAUGUAUUACGAUAUCGAGAAUUUUAGACAAAUCUUCUGCCGAAGCUUCAAUCGCAAAUUUUCAAUUGUGCGAUUGAAUUAAGAGGGGAGGUGUCACAUGCCACGUGUGUGACCUCUAAGUAACCUUAGACCAGACCUGUUACCAAGCAAACUUGACAAACACCCAUCGAUGAGCAAUCUUUUUACAACCCUAUUACGUCGAUACACGGAUGUGAUCUGGGUAUAUAAGGCCCUAAAUUUGGAUCCAAAAGUCAGUAUCUAGUCAGCAUCCAGUCAGUAUCUAAUUUAAAUCAAACCGAUCGACAUCAUCUCUGUACCAGUAGUCAGUGCGAAUCUUUACUCGUUACCUACGAUUAUCCCAGUCUAAGUAAUACCCAUCUCGUGUGAGACCAACCCGUUGUCAAAUCUCCAAGCAGUAAAAAUUGGAAAGGCGGUGCAUCUGAACUGACUGUGGACGCACGAGCGGAGAACGGGUUUUCAACUUCACAAAGAAGCAAUAAAGGUGUUUAUUGGAACUGGUCUUCUCUCGGCAACAUACAAAUAAAGAACUUCAAGAAAUCAUUAUAUACUAUUUUAUAAUAAAUUUCAUUUUAACUAAUUCUUAACUUUUAUUCAUUGAUUCUUUUUCCUCAUUCCCAAAUAAGAUUUCUUCGGAAUUUCUUAUUUAAAACGAGGAUAACAAAUGUUAAGAGAUCGGAGUAUAUACGCAUUGCACACAACAUUAAAAUUCCGGUGGAGUGGAUUUACUGCAUGGAACGAAAUUCUAUGUUGGAAAUAUGUAAUAAUGCGAUCACAGUUUAUAAUAUGAGUAAUGUUGGAAGUGAUCUUUAUGAUAUAAAUAUCAUUACUAUCAACGGUGGAAUCACCACUCGUCUUGUAAAAGAGA
Leptopilina heterotoma is the source of this 1115-nucleotide long non-coding RNA. RefSeq lists it as uncharacterized. The transcript has 3 exons. The record is from RefSeq and is a predicted model, not a curated record. Lineage: Eukaryota; Metazoa; Arthropoda; Insecta; Hymenoptera; Figitidae.